GCCACUGGCAGUGGUCACUGAAUACGGAUGUCGCCGCCCUCCGGAGGCGGGAGCGCAGGUUCGAAUCCUGCCGGGGGCACCC
RNAcentral lists this transfer RNA (82 nucleotides) under Kibdelosporangium aridum. RNAcentral describes it as "tRNA-Arg". The stretch from base 14 to 79 matches the Rfam family "tRNA". Rfam says of the family: Transfer RNA (tRNA) molecules are approximately 80 nucleotides in length. Lineage: Bacteria; Bacillati; Actinomycetota; Actinomycetes; Pseudonocardiales; Pseudonocardiaceae. The record is from RNAcentral.